CGGUAAUUCCAGCUCCAAUAGCGUAUAUUAACGUUGUUGCAGUUAAAAAGCUCGUAGUUGAAAUGUGGGAUGAAGUAUAUAAUGAAUUUCUAAUUCAAUUCUAUAUUGAUUCCCCUCUCCAAUUUAUUAUUAUGGGUAUUAAUUUAUUUGUAAUAAGAAUUGGUCAUUUACUGUGAGAAAAUUAGAGUGUUCAAAGCAGGCAUUUGCUUGAAUAGAUUAGCAUGGAAUAAUACUAAAAGGCUUUUAUGGUCCAUUUAAUUGGUUUGUUCAUAAAAGCAAGAUUAAAAGGAACAGUUGGGGGUAUUCAUAUUCAAUAGUUAGAGGUGAAAUUCUCGGAUUUAUGGAAGAUGAACUAGUGCGAAAGCAUUUACCAAGGAUGUUUUCAUUAAUCAAGAACGAAAGCUAGGGGAUCGAAGAGGCUUAGAUACCCUCGUAGUCUUAGCUAUAAACUAUACCCGACUAGGGGUUAGUUGAAGUCAUUGUGUUUCCUAUUAGUACCUUAUGAGAAAUCAAAGUCUUUGGGUUCCGGGGGGAGUAUGGUCGCAAGGCUGAAACUUAAAGGAAUUUGACCGAAGGGCACCACCAGGAGUGGAGCCUGGCGCUUAAUUUGACUCAACCCCGGG
This 623-nucleotide ribosomal RNA is filed under the name uncultured eukaryote. RNAcentral's name for it is "SSU rRNA". It matches the Rfam family "Eukaryotic small subunit ribosomal RNA", at positions 577 to 1210 of the family's 1831-position model. The record is from RNAcentral.